GACGAACGCUGGCGGCGUGCUUAACACAUGCAAGUCGAACGGAAAGGCCCCUUUGGGGGUACUCGAGUGGCGAACGGGGGCGUAACACGUGAGUAACCUGCCCUUGACUUCGGGAUAACUUCAGGAAACUGGGGCUAAUACCGGAUAGGAAUCCUUGCUGCAUGGUGGGGGUUGGAAAGCUUCGGCGGUUUUGGAUGGACUCGCGGCUUAUCAGCUUGUUGGUGGGGUAGUGGCUUACCAAGGCUUUGACGGGUAGCCGGCCUGAGAGGGCGACCGGCCACAUUGGGACGUAGAUACGGCCCAGACUCCUACGGGAGGCAGAAGUGGGGAAUAUUGCACAAUGGGCGGAAGCCUGAUGCAGCAACGCCGCGGGCGGGAUGACGGCCUUCGGGUUGUAAACCGCUUUCAGCAGGGGCGAAGCUUGUGGUGACGGUACCUGCAGAAGAAGCACCGGCUAACUACGUG
RNAcentral lists this ribosomal RNA (465 nucleotides) under uncultured bacterium. RNAcentral describes it as "partial 16S ribosomal RNA". It matches the Rfam family "Bacterial small subunit ribosomal RNA", at positions 28 to 507 of the family's 1533-position model. The record is from RNAcentral.